Molecule: ribosomal RNA, 403 nt
Filed under: uncultured bacterium
Lineage: Bacteria
Description: bacterial SSU rRNA
Rfam family: Bacterial small subunit ribosomal RNA
Source: RNAcentral
AAUCAACGCUGGCGGCGUGCCUAACACAUGCAAGUCGGACGAGAAAGUGGAGCAAUCCAUGAGUAAAGUGGCGCACGGGUGAGUAACACGUGACUAACCUACCCUUGAGUGGGGGAUAACCUAGGGAAACCUGGGCUAAUACCGCAUAAUACCUACGGGUCAAAGGAGCAAUUCGCUUUAGGAGGGGGUCGCGGCAGAUUAGUUAGUUGGCGGGGUAAUGGCCCACCAAGACGAUGAUCUGAUCCGGCCUGAGAGGGCGCACGGACACACUGGAACUGAAACACGGUCCAGACUCCUACGGGAGGCAGCAGUGGGGAAUUUUGCGCAAUGGGGGAAACCCUGACGCAGCAACGCCGCGUGGAGGAUGAAGACCCUUGGGUCGUAAACUCCUUUCGAUCGGGAC